RNAcentral lists this ribosomal RNA (301 nucleotides) under uncultured bacterium. RNAcentral's name for it is "partial 16S ribosomal RNA". It matches the Rfam family "Bacterial small subunit ribosomal RNA", at positions 509 to 808 of the family's 1533-position model. The record is from RNAcentral.
CAGUAGCCACGGUAACACGUAGGGUGCGAGCGUUAAUCGGAAUUACUGGGCGUAAAGCGUGCGCAGGCGGUUGUGUAAGACAGGUGUGAAAUCCCCGGGCUUAACCUGGGAACUGCGCUUGUGACUGCACAGCUAGAGUAUGGCAGAGGGGGGUGAAUUCCACGUGUAGCAGUGAAAUGCGUAGAGAUGUGGAGGAACACCGAUGGCGAAGGCAGCCCCCUGGGCCAAUACUGACGCUCAUGCACGAAAGCGUGGGGAGCAAACAGGAUUAGAUACCCGUGUAGUCCCUGUCUCUUAUACA